GACGAACGCUGGCGGCGUGCUUAACACAUGCAAGUCGAACGGUGAAGCGCCUUCCUUUUUGGUGGGUGUGGAUGAGUGGCGAACGGGUGAGUAACACGUGAGUAACCUGCCCCCUUCUUCUGGAUAACCGCAUGAAAGUGUGGCUAAUACGGGAUAUUCUGGGUCUGUCGCAUGAUGGGUCUGGGACAGAUAUUGUUUCGGUGGGGGAUGGGCUCGCGGCCUAUCAGCUUGUUGGUGGGGUGAUGGCCUACCAAGGCGGUGACGGGUAGCCGGCCUGAGAGGGUGGACGGUCACACUGGGAGUGAGACACGGCACAGACUCAUACGAGAGGCAGCAGGGGGGAAUAUUGCACAAUGGGCGCAAGUCUGAUGCAGCGGCGCCGUGUGAGGGAAGGAUCCCUGCGGGGUGUGAAUCUCUUUCGAGAGUGAAGCAGGUCUGCAUCGUUUGUGGGUCGGUUGACGGUAGCUGGAGAAGAAGCGCCGGCUAACUACGUG
RNAcentral lists this ribosomal RNA (494 nucleotides) under uncultured bacterium. Its description in RNAcentral is "partial 16S ribosomal RNA". It matches the Rfam family "Bacterial small subunit ribosomal RNA", at positions 28 to 507 of the family's 1533-position model. The record is from RNAcentral.